Molecule: long non-coding RNA, 892 nt
Filed under: Rattus norvegicus (Norway rat)
Lineage: Eukaryota; Metazoa; Chordata; Mammalia; Rodentia; Muridae
Description: long non-coding RNA NONRATT026089
Source: RNAcentral
ACUAAGGCCUGCUCCUUGGCAACACAGGCUCUGGGGUGGCUACAUCUCUCCCCACCCACUGCUAGCUCGAGCAUGCUAGUCUUUGUGCCUUAUUUCCCUGGGGUGAAGGUGACAGACAUUUCCUUCCCAUAGAUUUCGGGUGGUAUUAAAGGAGAAAACACUGCUGAGAGGGUCUAGGCACUGUCCUGCACAAAGCAAGUGUUACAGCCAUGUCAGCUCUUUCUAUUUUCACACUGUAGCCCUAGGGUAUUUUUGUCACACUGGCAAUUAUCUGGUUAGUGCCCGUCUGCCAUCUCUAGGCCCCCAAGUGUCCUGAGUCCUAAUUGAACAGAGGUCACAUGUAUCACUUUGCUGCCCCUCAAGGAUCAUAGUCAGGAAGCCCAGGGUGUUGUGUAGCUGGUAGAGUCUAGUUCUUGGGUUCAAACUCUAGCCAGCAAUUAACUGGGCACAGUGACUUUGGGUGUUCCUUAGCCCUAGGCUGGCCAUCUGUGUGGGUGUGGUGCCUAGCUCUGGUGGCUUUAAGAUAAGACAUUGGACGCACACUUGGCAUUCUGCUGUGGUGGGAGACUUGAUACCACAAACUCCAGCAACACUAAACACUGCUCCUGCUACCCUUCCAUGUGUUCCCCCCUGUGCAGGCAUCGAACCUGGACACAUCCCUGGCUCAGUAAACAUCCCAUUCACUGAAUUCCUGACCAGUGAAGGUCUGGAGAAGAGCCCAGAGGAGAUCCAACGCCUGUUCCAGGAGAAGAAGGUGGACCUGUCCAAGCCCUUGGUAGCCACAUGCGGCUCCGGUGUCACAGCCUGCCACGUGGUCCUGGGGGCCUUCCUCUGUGGCAAACCCGAUGUGCCUGUCUACGAUGGCUCCUGGGUGGAGUGGUACAUGCGUGCC